Non-coding RNA from Elaeis guineensis (African oil palm), 1921 nucleotides. The record is from RefSeq and is a predicted model, not a curated record. Lineage: Eukaryota; Viridiplantae; Streptophyta; Magnoliopsida; Arecales; Arecaceae.
AUUUAACGAGGAAAAAAAUAAUCAUAUCGUGUCGCACCGUUUGAUCGUAUCCGCGUGCUGUCCUCCCCGUCCCCCUCCCCCUUUCGCGGAACUCCACUACACCCCCUUUGUCCCUGAAGCCCUAACCUCUUCCUUCCAUUCGAUCUAUCGAAACCCACGAUCCUUUCACCAUUUCUUUUCUUUUUAACUGUCCUCCUUUUUGAUCGAGACCUGAUCCCUGCCCGGAGAAAUUUCUUUGAUUGCGAUUCUUUUCUUUAAAUUGAAACGUUAGGAGGGAACGGAUUGGUGGGCGAUGGCGGGUUCGAGCUCAUGGUCGCGGGCUUUGAUGCAGAUCUCGCCCUAUACGUUCGCGUCCAUCGGGAUCGCGAUCUCCAUCGGCGUUUCCGUUCUCGGGGCCGCUUGGGGAAUUUAUAUUACGGGGAGCAGCUUAAUUGGUGCGGCGAUCAAAGCUCCAAGAAUCACCUCAAAGAAUCUCAUUAGUGUCAUCUUCUGCGAGGCUGUUGCUAUAUAUGGUGUAAUUGUUGCAAUCAUUCUACAAACAAAGUUGGAAAGCGUACCAGACUCACAGAUAUAUGCUCCAGAGUCUCUAAGAGCUGGAUAUGCAAUAUUUGCCUCUGGAAUCAUUGUGGGUUUUGCAAAUCUGGUCUGUGGUCUUUGUGUUGGAAUAAUUGGAAGCAGCUGUGCUUUGUCUGAUGCUCAGAACUCCACCCUCUUUGUAAAGAUUCUGGUGAUCGAAAUCUUUGGUAGCGCGCUUGGAUUAUUUGGUGUGAUUGUUGGAAUAAUUAUGUCAUCUCAAGCAACAUGGCCAGCAAAGACAGCAUGAACUGUUGUUUCAAGAACCAAACAGGGCUGAUUGCUUGGGAGAAUUCCUUAUGCCAAAUAAAGAAGAUGCUUUUGUUUGGAUUCCUGAUGGUAGUGCCUUUAUCUGAAAGCACCAGUGCCCAAAUCUAAGCAACAAGUACUCUUCCAAAAGCCGUAGCAAGAUGCUCCCUGGAUUUGAUCGUGGUAUGAUGGUUAUAUUGGUAGAGAAGGGUGACUUGCUGACAUGGUAGUUAAAGAAUAGAUGUUUGACAGAAUUACAUUGCUGGUAGAAAUGGCACUGCCAUGUUCAACAAAUGUCAUUCAGUGCGAAAAAAUUGCAUACUAAACCCUGCUGGCUUUCAGGCAUGUCGAACUCUGCACGCCACCUCUGGGAUGGUGAAGAUUAAUUGGCCGGAAUAGCUGGUACAUGAACGUUGAACGGGGCCCACAUUUCAUCAAACGAAAAUAACCAAAUUAAAUACUGCAUGGGGGUUUGCCUUUCUUCUUCUUCUUCUUUUGAAGUUUGUCCAAGAAGAUGCAUAUAGAAUUCAAGCCUGCCAUACGGAAAAGAAAUUGUCAUCGGAUCAAGAUUUAAUAAAUAUACAUCUUAAAACUUCACAGGUUUGCAAACUUCCCCAGGGUGUUUCAUCUCUCCGAACAUCAAAUUGUGUAUUUAACUAUAGCGGCUCAAAACCAAAAUUGAUUUGAAGAGGUCAUCCUUCUGAAGUUUAUGACAUCAUAACAGUGGGAUUUUUGUAGGAGAAGGGCGCUCAUGAAGUUUGUGACAUCAUAACAAAGAGACUUUUGUAGGAGAAGGACGCUCAUGAAUCUUUGCUGCUGCUGCUGUUGUGAUGACGAUAUUGAAGUAACUAACAGCCUUCAGCUUACCUUGAUCAUGAACCCUAUGAUUGCAUUCACAGUGUUCACUGUUCAUAGAUGCCUUCUUGUGCUAAACGUCCAGGGAACAAGCAGACAGCCCUCCUAUCAUCAGAAACUGUUUUGGUUGAUCCAGAUAUAGGACUUAAAUUUGCUCAUAUAUUUUGGAAAGUUUCCAGGGAUCAUAUUGGUUUUAUUUAUUUAUUUCUUUACAUACCAUUCAUAACCAUGCAUGGGAACUCAA